GACGAACGCUGGCGGCGUGCUUAACACAUGCAAGUCGAACGGAAAGGCCCUGCUUUUGUGGGGUGCUCGAGUGGCGAACGGGUGAGUAACACGUGAGUAACCUGCCCUUGACUUUGGGAUAACUUCAGGAAACUGGGGCUAAUACCGGAUAGGAGCUCCUGCUGCAUGGUGGGGGUUGGAAAGUUUCGGCGGUUGGGGAUGGACUCGCGGCUUAUCAGCUUGUUGGUGGGGUAGUGGCUUACCAAGGCUUUGACGGGUAGCCGGCCUGAGAGGGUGACCGGCCACAUUGGGACUGAGAUACGGCCUAGACUCCUACGGGAGGCAGCAGUGGGGAAUAUUGCACAAUGGGCGGAAGCCUGAUGCAGCAACGCCGCGUGCGGGAUGACGGCCUUCGGGUUGUAAACCGCUUUCGCCUGUGACGAAGCGUGAGUGACGGUAAUGGGUAAAGAAGCACCGGCUAACUAUGUG
RNAcentral lists this ribosomal RNA (468 nucleotides) under uncultured bacterium. Its description in RNAcentral is "partial 16S ribosomal RNA". It matches the Rfam family "Bacterial small subunit ribosomal RNA", at positions 28 to 507 of the family's 1533-position model. The record is from RNAcentral.